RNAcentral lists this ribosomal RNA (427 nucleotides) under uncultured beta proteobacterium. RNAcentral's name for it is "bacterial SSU rRNA". It matches the Rfam family "Bacterial small subunit ribosomal RNA", at positions 355 to 774 of the family's 1533-position model. The record is from RNAcentral. Lineage: Bacteria; Pseudomonadati; Pseudomonadota; Betaproteobacteria.
UGGGGAAUUUUGGACAAUGGGCGAAAGCCUGAUCCAGCCAUGCCGCGUGAGUGAAGAAGGCCUUCGGGUUGUAAAGCUCUUUUAGUCGGAAAGAAAGAGUUGCAAUGAAUAAUUGUGAUUUAUGACGGUACCGACAGAAAAAGCACCGGUUAACUACGUGCCGGCAGCCGCGGUAAUACGUAGGGUGCGAGCGUUAAUCGGAAUUACUGGGCGUAAAGGGUGCGCAGGCGGUCUUGCAAGUCAGAUGUGAAAGCCCCGGGCUUAACCUGGGAAUUGCGUUUGAAACUACAAGACUAGAGUGCAGCAGAGGGGAGUGGAAUUCCAUGUGUAGCAGUGAAAUGCGUAGAGAUGUGGAAGAACACCGAUGGCGAAGGCAGCUCCCUGGGUUGACACUGACGCUCAUGCACGAAAGCGUGGGGAGCAAACA